UGGGGAAUAUUGCACAAUGGGCGCAAGCCUGAUGCAGCAAUGCCGCGUGAGUGAAGACGGCCUUAGGGUUGUAAAACUCUUUCGCUAGGGAAGAUAAUGACGGUACCUAGUAAAGAAGUCCCGGCUAACUCCGUGCCAGCAGCCGCGGUAAUACGGAGGGGACUAGCGUUGUUCGGAAUUACUGGGCGUAAAGAGUUCGUAGGCGGACUAGCAAGUUAGAGGUGAAAUCCCAGGGCUCAACCCCGGAACUGCCUCCAAAACUAUUGGUCUAGAGUUCGAGAGAGGUGAGUGGAAUUCCAAGUGUAGAGGUGAAAAUUUCGUAGAUAUUUGGAGGAACACCAGUGGCGAAGGCGGCUCACUGGCUCGAUACUGACGCUGAGGUGCGAAAGUGUGGGGAGCAAACAGGGAUUUAGAUACCCUGGUAGUCCACACCGUAAACGAUGAAUGCCAGUCGUCGGGUAGCAUGCUAUUCGGUGACACACCUAACGGAUUAAGCAUUCCGCCUGGGGAGUACGGUC
This 518-nucleotide ribosomal RNA is filed under the name uncultured bacterium. RNAcentral describes it as "bacterial SSU rRNA". It matches the Rfam family "Bacterial small subunit ribosomal RNA", at positions 355 to 887 of the family's 1533-position model. The record is from RNAcentral.